RNAcentral lists this ribosomal RNA (656 nucleotides) under Calliostoma antonii. RNAcentral's name for it is "partial 12S ribosomal RNA". The stretch from base 247 to 656 matches the Rfam family "Bacterial small subunit ribosomal RNA", at positions 874 to 1384 of the family's 1533-position model. The record is from RNAcentral. Lineage: Eukaryota; Metazoa; Mollusca; Gastropoda; Trochida; Calliostomatidae.
GACAAACAGGUCGAGUUAAGAUUUGUUUAGUAAAAAAGGAGGUUAUGUUAGUUAGUUUAGUGGUUUUGAGAAUCUUCUGUUUUUAUAGGGGUGAAAUCUGUAUAUGAAUAGUUGGUCUUUUAUUCUCUUCUUCUGAAUCCUCGAAAGUUUAAUAUAAGACCGGGAUUAGAUACCCCGUUAUUUAUUCUGUAAACUUUAAUUUGUUUUGAUUUACUUGGGGAUUACGUGUUGCUAUUAGGUUUGUUUUGAUUACUAGUGAUAGGAAGCUUAAAACUCAAAAAACUUGGCGGUGCCUCAAUUCUUUCCGGGGGAACCUGUCCUGUAAUCGAUGGUCCACGAUUUAGCUUACCUUAUUUUGAAUGUAUAUAUGUAAAUAUAAUCACAGCUUGUAUACCGUCGUCGUCAGAUUACCCUUAAGGGAUAUAGAAGUUAUCUGGUGGAGUAGUGGAUUUGUAGUUUUUAUUAAAUGUUUAUUUAGUAUGGUUAAAGUCUAGGAUUCUUGAUGUCAGAUCAAGGUGCAGCUUAUGAUUAGGGAGAGAUGGGUUACAAUGGUUAUUUACCAUACGGAUUUUUACUUGUAAUUAGUGAAUUGAAGGUGGACUCGGGAGUAAUAGGUUAAAUAAUGAGUUUUUAUGAAAUAUGGUGCUGAGGUGCGU